Molecule: ribosomal RNA, 250 nt
Filed under: uncultured bacterium
Lineage: Bacteria
Description: partial 16S ribosomal RNA
Rfam family: Bacterial small subunit ribosomal RNA
Source: RNAcentral
UACGUAGGGUGCAAGCGUUGUCCGGAAUUAUUGGGCGUAAAGAGCUCGUAGGUGGUUUGUCGCGUCUGCUGUGAAAUCCUUCCGCUCAACGGGAGGCUUGCAGUGGGUACAGGCAGACUAGAGUGCAGUAGAGGAGUCUGGAAUUCCUGGUGUAGCGGUGGAAUGCGCAGAUAUCAGGAGGAACACCGGUGGCGAAGGCGGGACUCUGGGCUGUUACUGACGCUGAGGAGCGAAAGCAUGGGGAGCGAAC